Molecule: ribosomal RNA, 293 nt
Filed under: Gymnophalloides seoi
Lineage: Eukaryota; Metazoa; Platyhelminthes; Trematoda; Gymnophallidae
Description: partial 28S ribosomal RNA
Rfam family: Eukaryotic large subunit ribosomal RNA
Source: RNAcentral
GAUUACCCGCUGAACUUAAGCAUAUCACUAAGCGGAGGAAAAGAAACUAACAAGGAUUCCCUUAGUAACGGCGAGUGAACAGGGAAGAGCCCAGCACCGAAGCCUGAGACUAUUUGGUUUCUAGGCAAUGUGGUGUUCAGGUCGUUGUCCGGAGAUACUGUCUCACCCUAAGUCCACUUUUGAGUGCGGCUUUUACCUGUCCCAGAGAGGGUGAAAGGCCCGUAAGGUGAGAAGCAGAUUGGCCAGUAUUUCCCUAGACAGACCUUGGAGUCGGGGUUGUUUGUGAAUGCAGC